GCCGUAGUCUAGCUUGGUCUAGGAUGCCAGCCUGAGGCGCUGGUGACCCGGGUUCAAAUCCCGGCGGCCCCA
The sequence is a transfer RNA, 72 nucleotides long. It matches the Rfam family "tRNA". Rfam says of the family: Transfer RNA (tRNA) molecules are approximately 80 nucleotides in length.